This 385-nucleotide ribosomal RNA is filed under the name Acinetobacter sp. oral taxon C80. RNAcentral describes it as "bacterial SSU rRNA". It matches the Rfam family "Bacterial small subunit ribosomal RNA", at positions 30 to 411 of the family's 1533-position model. The record is from RNAcentral. Lineage: Bacteria; Pseudomonadati; Pseudomonadota; Gammaproteobacteria; Moraxellales; Moraxellaceae.
AUUGAACGCUGGCGGCAGGCUUAACACAUGCAAGUCGAGCGGGAUAGGGUGCUUGCACCUGAUUCCUAGCGGCGGACGGGUGAGUAAUGCUUAGGAAUCUGCCUAUUAGUGGGGGACAACAUUCCGAAAGGGAUGCUAAUACCGCAUACGCCCUACGGGGGAAAGCAGGGGAUCACUUGUGACCCUGCGCUAAUAGAUGAGCCUAAGUCGGAUUAGCUAGUUGGUGGGGUAAAGGCCUACCAAGGCGACGAUCUGUAGCGGGUCUGAGAGGAUGAUCCGCCACACUGGGAACUGCUGACACGGCCCAGACUCCUACGGGAGGCAGCAGUGGGGAAUAUUGGACAAUGGGGGGAACCCUGAUCCAGCCAUGCCGCGUGUGUGAAGA